GGCUUUGCGCAGUGGCAGUAUCGUAGCCAAUGAGGUUUAUCUGAGGCACGAUUAUUACUAAUUGAAAACUUCCCAAUAGCCUGCUGUGACAACUUGCAAUAUAGUCGGCACUGGCAAUUUUUGACGGUCUCUAUGGAGA
This is a small nuclear RNA of Otolemur garnettii (small-eared galago), 139 nucleotides long. Its record names the gene U4. It matches the Rfam family "U4 spliceosomal RNA". From Rfam's summary of the family: U4 small nuclear RNA (U4 snRNA) is a component of the major U2-dependent spliceosome. The structure of U4 snRNA from yeast and human has been reported. U4 snRNA presents a k-turn RNA motif in the 5p-SL related to recognition of Snu13 protein. The record is from Ensembl. Lineage: Eukaryota; Metazoa; Chordata; Mammalia; Primates; Galagidae.